This 468-nucleotide ribosomal RNA is filed under the name uncultured bacterium. Its description in RNAcentral is "partial 16S ribosomal RNA". It matches the Rfam family "Bacterial small subunit ribosomal RNA", at positions 28 to 507 of the family's 1533-position model. The record is from RNAcentral.
GACGAACGCUGGCGGCGUGCUUAACACAUGCAAGUCGAACGGACAGGCCCUGCUUUUGUGGGGUGCUCGAGUGGCGAACGGGUGAGUAACACGUGAGUAACCUGCCCUUGACUUUCUGAUAACUUCAGGAAACUGCGGCUAAUACCGGAUAGGAGCUCCUGCUGCAUGGUGGUGGUUGGAAAGUUUCGGCGGUUGGGGAUGGACUCGCGGCUUAUCAGCUUGUUGGUGGGGUAGUGGCUUACCAAGGCUUUGACGGGUAGCCGGCAUGAGAGGGUGACCGGCCACAUUGGGACUGAGAUACGGCGCAGAAUCCUACGGGAGGCAGCAGUGGGGAAUAUUGCAGAAUGGGCGGAAGCGUGAGGCAGCAGCGCCGCGUGCGGGAUGACGGCCUUCGGGGUGUAAACAGAUGUCGCAUGUGACGAAGAGUGAGUGACGGUAAUGGGUAAAGAAGCACCGGCUAACUACGUG